UACGUAGGGCGCAAGCGUUGUCCGGAAUUAUUGGGCGUAAAGAGCUCGUAGGCGGUUUGUCGCGUCUGCUGUGAAAACGCGAGGCUUAACCUCGCGCCUGCAGUGGGUACGGGCAGACUAGAGUGCGGUAGGGGAGACUGGAAUUCCUGGUGUAGCGGUGGAAUGCGCAGAUAUCAGGAGGAACACCGGUGGCGAAGGCGGGUCUCUGGGCCGUUACUGACGCUGAGGAGCGAAAGCAUGGGGAGCAAACAGG
This 253-nucleotide ribosomal RNA is filed under the name uncultured bacterium. RNAcentral's name for it is "partial 16S ribosomal RNA". It matches the Rfam family "Bacterial small subunit ribosomal RNA", at positions 524 to 776 of the family's 1533-position model. The record is from RNAcentral.